AUUAGUGGCGAACGGGUGAGUAAUACGUGAGUAACCUACCUUUAACUCUGGGAUAAGCCUGGGAAACUGGGUCUAAUACCGGAUACGACCAAUCUCCGCAUGGGGUGUUGGUGGAAAGCGUUAUGUAGUGGUUAUAGAUGGGCUCACGGCCUAUCGGCUUGUUGGUGAGGUAACGGCUCACCAAGGCGACGACGGGUAGCCGGCCUGAGAGGGUGACCGGCCACACUGGGACUGAGACACGGCCCAG
This 247-nucleotide ribosomal RNA is filed under the name uncultured bacterium. RNAcentral describes it as "partial 16S ribosomal RNA". It matches the Rfam family "Bacterial small subunit ribosomal RNA", at positions 91 to 334 of the family's 1533-position model. The record is from RNAcentral.